AGGAUACUUAAAUGCUUAAAUCCUAUUGGUGCAAAUAUACAUGCUGCAGGAAUAGCGCAGUUUCGUCGGUGUGGGGAGGGCUACAGCGUUUUCCCGUCGAUUCUAGGCCUAAAACGUAAUGACUACCCUGUAGGUGGCUCCUAGGCCUAGGGACCUGGUAUGGCACCCUACAUGCAAUAUAUGUACUGCCCUUUCAUCUGGUGACCAGGUAGAGUGCCUUGCAGCUAUGCAGACAAACAAAUGAGUGGGAAAGAAGAGAGUUUACCUGCUCUACCCACAUUGAAGGAAAGAAGGGAGACAGCUGCAGUUUAAGACUUCCUCAAGGAGGACCAUCCUCUUCACAACAAGGACUUUGGCCACAGGGUGGAACUUAAGAAACAGUACAGCUAUCAAAAUCCUAACAGCCAACACAAAGAGACUCAAGAACUUAUUCCUUCUUCAAGCCAUCCAUCUGUAUAACAAUUUGGUCCAUAUAUCAAAUUAAUUCGUUUUUCUUUGUAUGUAUAAAUUUAUUACCCUGGGUAUUACCUAUAAAUGUAUAGGAUGUCAGAAGCAUCGUACAGCAUUGUUUUGUUAUGUAUUGUUAUAGAACACCAUUAGUUACAUGUAUGUAUAUAACGUAAAAGUUCAACACAAUUCAAAUGUUCCUUGUACUCCUUCCAGGUUGAUUUUAUAUAAUAAAUUGUUAGCCGGGAUGCCAGAACCAUAGCAUGAUAGACCCAGAGGGUAAACUCAUGGGAAUGUUGGCCUUGGAGCAAGGGAACUGGCCUGUGUAGGCGCUGGUAACAGUCUGUCACCCAGGUUACUACAAGGUAAAAAACAUAUCCCGUACGGUACUUCAAGGUAUAAUGGGAUAUCCUUUGCAUGAUUUUAUCAGACCAGAUAUAGGUGACAUCUUCAACCUCUAGUGCCAUGGAUACAAUUUUUAAGAGAAAAAAAAGCACUUGUAUUUACAUCUUUGACAUGCAUGCAAUAUUAGGUUUUAAUCGUUGUAAUAUGAAAGAAUUGUUGUAUACUUAGGUAACUCAAAUGUUUAUAGUAACUUCCCAUAAUUAGUAGGUACCAAGGAAUAAGGGUAACAGUUGUAUCUACUCGUCCCCGGAAGGUCUUGCAUAAGGGGUCCACGAUAACGUAAUCUCCAAGCAGAUCAUACGGUGGCAAGGCAAUGUCCAUUGGUGAGAGGAGUAUGGACACUCCUCUGACCAAUGGACAUUGCCUUGCCACCGUAUGAUCUGCUUGGAGUUAAUUAGUAACACACAUGUUCGGAGAGGAAAAUUUAUAGCCCCGAAGGGAACCAGGCCCCAACAACGAUGGACUGGCAUCCAGCUUGUCGAUCCGAUUUUAUGGGAGAUAAAGAGGAUGACACUCUCUGGUAACACCAAAACUGAUGCGAGCGUGCGAAUGAAAAAAAAUAAAGUUUGUAAAAAAAAGUUGUCUUCAUUCUGAAAUCUGUCGUGGUCAUGAAGGUUGAACAAAUGACUAAACACACAGGGUACUAUUUCAUUGGCAAGGCGAAUAAGAGACAUUUCAUUCCUUCUAACACAUUUUCUUCUUGCUCAUUUCGAGCUAAUUUGUACGAUUUACAGUAUAGUAGAAGACAUUUUUUGGAAACGAUUGAAAAUCCAUGCAGGCGUGGAAAUCCA
Branchiostoma belcheri (Belcher's lancelet) is the source of this 1643-nucleotide long non-coding RNA. RefSeq lists it as uncharacterized. The record is from RefSeq and is a predicted model, not a curated record. The transcript has 3 exons. NCBI's taxonomy places the organism in Eukaryota, Metazoa, Chordata, Leptocardii, Amphioxiformes, Branchiostomatidae.